Molecule: non-coding RNA, 3159 nt
Organism: Camelina sativa (false flax)
Lineage: Eukaryota; Viridiplantae; Streptophyta; Magnoliopsida; Brassicales; Brassicaceae
Source: RefSeq, a predicted model, not a curated record
UUCACAUCAUACUACUUUAGCCCCACCGUGAGAACCAAAAAAACACGUACUCGACGAUAUGAUGACGGAGGCGUUGCACCUACAUAUAACGUUUCUGAUGUUCCAGAUAUCUUUGCUCAGAUAGGAAGACUUGCUGGAAAGUUAAAGGAAGUAUGGUGGGAAGAUCAUAGCUAUUGUCGAACAGCUCACAAUUACAUCUUGAGGAAUCUAGAUUAUGUUCAACCUUUUGAAAGACUUUUUGAAAUGCAGAUUCGUGAAACAUAUCCGAAUUUUGAAGAAUCUGACUAUGAGGCUUAUAAAGAGCGGGAUUUCGCUAAUUUGUUAAAAUACUAUGUUCAGAAUGGAUGUGGAAAUGAACCCUUGCCUCUUUGGUUGCAUGAGCUUGUUCAAGAACCAAGAGCGAAGAUCACUACCGCUCCGAUGUACUUUACUUGCGGUUAUACUUUUCAUAUGUACGCACAUAGAAGUUGCAAAGCUACAGAAAAUUAUGGAAUUUAUGUACAAGCUCGUGAUAGCGAUUUCUAUGGCGUUUUGCAACAAAUAUUAGAAGUUGAUUAUCCAGGCCUUCUGAAUCUGAGAUGCGUACUUUUCAAGUGUAACUGGUACGAUCCAUCGGCCCGAGGCGUGCGAGUAAAUAAUUGGGGAGUUGUUGAUGUGAAUGCGAACAGAUCGUACCCCAAAUUUGAUCCUUUCAUCCUAGCAUCACAAGCACAACAAGUGAGCUUUCUGUCCUAUCCUCGUUUAAGGCCAAGACGUGAAAUGUGGUUAUCAGUCAUUAAAGUUAAUCCUCGAGACCGUAUAAUCGGGUUAGUUGAUGAUCAAGUCAUGUUGCAACAAGAAAAUGUCGGUGAAAUUUCUAUUCCAAACAUAUCAACAUAAGAUGUUAUCCACAUUGAUCCACAAAACAGGCAAGUAGAAGAUGUUGAUGAUGUUUCUGAAGAAGAGGGUGAAUUAGACGAAUUCGAAGAGUCCGAUGAUGGAGAAGAUUCUAACGAUGAUAAUGUAAUUUCUAGUAGUUCAGAAAAUGAAUUUGAUUGACCAAUUGUAUUUUUUGUUGUUUUUUUUUUUUAAUAAAAAUUUAUCAAUUUGCGACGUAUUUGCGUUGGAAGUGCGAGUGAAUGCUUACAAUGUCUCGCAAUGUCGUCGUAAGUCCCUCGCAAAAGCCUAUACCCUAAACAUUAUUUGCGAGCGACUUACGAGUAUAACCUACAUUUAAACAUUGCGAGGGAUUUGCGAUUGAUUUGCUAGUGAUUUGCAAGUGACUAGCGAGGGAUUCUUGCUAGUUCUCGCAAAUACGUCGUUACUCCCUCACAAAUUAUAUACCCUAAACACUAAAUGCUCAAACCCUAAGCUUUUGCACAUUGCAAUGGAUUUUUGUGUCUCAAUGUGGAUAACAUCUUCUUUUGAUAGGUUUGCAAUGGAAAUUUUAACAUCUUUCAAGUUGCAACACAACUUGAUCAUCAACUAACAUGAUGAUCCACUAAACCCUAAAGUAGAAGAUGUUGAUGAUGUAUUUGAAGAAGAGCUUGAAUUAGAAGAAUUUGAAUUGUCUGAUGAUGAAGAAGAUUCUAAUGAUGAUAAUGGAAUUUCUAGUAGUUAAGAAGAUGAAUUUGAUUGAGCAAUUGUGGUUUUUCUUGUUUUUUCAAAAAAGAUUUAUCGAUUUGCGAUAGAUAUGCGAGGGAAUGCUUGCAAGGUCUCGCAAAGUCGUCGUUAAUCCCUCGCAAACCUAUACCCUAAACAUUUAAAUAUUGCAAGGGAGUUGCAAGGAUCCCUAGGUAAUCCCUUGCAAAAUCCUAAACCCUAAACACAACUGGAGUCUAGCUUAUCCCUUGCAAUAUUUAAGUAUUUGCGAGGGAUCCCUAGGUAAUCCCUCGCAAAAUCGUAAACCCUACACACAACUGGAGUCUAGCUUAUCCCUCGCAAUAUUUAAGUAUUUGCGAGGGACCCCUAGGUAAUCCCUCGCAAAAUCGUAAACCCUACACACAACUGGAGUCUAGCUUAUCCCUCGCAAUAUUUAAUAUCUUGCGAGGGAUUUGCGAGUGGCCCUAGUUAAUCCCUCGCAAAUCGUAAACCCUAAACACCAAUAGUCUAGCAAAUCUCUCGCAAUAUUUAAUAAGUGUGACAGAGUUGCGAGGGCGCAUAGGUAAUCCCUCGCAAAUUUUGCGAGAGAUUUGCGAGAUUCCAAAAAGUUUAUAUAUACAAACUCAAUCGAGUUUGAGCGAAGCUCAGACCAGUCGCCGACAAAAGCUAAUCUUCUUCUUCCUCCUCCGAUCAAACCAUCUUCUUCCUCUUCCGAUCUGGUUCUUCCUCCUCCGAUCAAACCAUCUUCUUCCUAUUCCGAUCUGGUUUUUCCUCCUCCGGUCAAACUAUCUUCUUCCUCUUCCGAUCUGGUUCUUCCUCCUCCGAUCAAACCCUAGUCCUCUUCCUCUUCCGAUCUGCUUCUCUCGUCUUCCAAUCUUCUUCAAUUGCAAACCCUAAUCUCUCGUCUUUCGAUCUUCUUCUUCAAUCGCAUUCUGAAAGAUGUUUGGAGGCAACGAUUACACAAGAUUUCUGACGGAUCAAGGUUUAGCCUCUCCCAGUGCUUCUAAUCGUCACGGUCCCUCCGGUUCUAACAAUAUAAACCCCGGUUUUCACAAUAACCGCCGUGUAACCUCGCAACCCCUGCAUGUGACGCCUCCUUCUAAUACGCCUUCACCAUCUCAUUCGCAUGGUGGCACUGCGCCGAACCCUGACAUUACUGCAUCUCAACCCGCGCGUUCCUCCUCUACAGUCAUGUCCCAACGUCUCAACAACCUGACUUAGGAGGAGUUACUCGAUAGUCCUGGACGAUCUGGUUUAACUAAACUAGAUCCUCGCCGACCUCCAGGAUCUCUGUGGUUUGACCAAGACUCAUCUGUUGCGGCUACUGUUUAAAGCAUAUUUGAAAGAGAUUUCAAAGAGCCCCAUGCCAAUUGGACACAGACGCCGUCUGCAGUGGUAGACCGUUGGUAUGAAACGUUUGCGGCUACUGUCAAGUCUCUUUGUUUGCCAUUUACAAUAUGUUUUCUUUGCCUUAAUUAAAUAUAGACUAAUCCUUUUUUUUUUGCAAGCAAAUAUACAAUUGGGACCGUUGCUUAAACGAUAGAGUGAGGCAAGAGUUUGAGGACAAGUUGAAGGACA